RNAcentral lists this ribosomal RNA (253 nucleotides) under uncultured bacterium. RNAcentral describes it as "partial 16S ribosomal RNA". It matches the Rfam family "Bacterial small subunit ribosomal RNA", at positions 524 to 776 of the family's 1533-position model. The record is from RNAcentral.
UACGUAGGGUGCGAGCGUUGUCCGGAAUUAUUGGGCGUAAAGAGCUCGUAGGCGGUCUGUUACGUCGGCUGUGAAAACCUGGGGCUCAACCCCGGGCCUGCAGCCGAUACGGGCAGACUAGAGUUCGGCAGGGGAGACUGGAAUUCCUGGUGUAGCGGUGAAAUGCGCAGAUAUCAGGAGGAACACCGGUGGCGAAGGCGGGUCUCUGGGCCGAAACUGACGCUGAGGAGCGAAAGCGUGGGGAGCAAACAGG